Cyprinus carpio carpio is the source of this 412-nucleotide long non-coding RNA. NCBI's taxonomy places the organism in Eukaryota, Metazoa, Chordata, Actinopteri, Cypriniformes, Cyprinidae. The record is from Ensembl.
UGGGCUAUGAAUUGAAUUUCCUCCUAGUCCACCCCUGAGUUCCUGUUUAAGAGGAAGUAAGCCAUAUUAGUUUGGUGUUCACUAAGGUGCCCAUACCGUUCCUAACAUCCAAGUCCAUCUUACCUUUCAUGGCCUGUUGAGAUGUAAUGUCUUUUCACACUUGUCAUGAUUAAACUUCAAAAACCGAGUCUUCGUCUUGAAAGAUGGACGUUUAACAACUGCAUCUAACAAAGAGAAGGACGAUAUCUGCCUGAAGGCCUGCAUGGCUACCAUGUCCUCAAAAGACUCUAAAGCAUCAUUGCGACACCAUAGUGGCAAAGGAGGUGGCUCACAAAGCAGUUUUGAGUGUGUGUCAAUCACCUAUAACUUGGCCAAGUACCUUGCACCAGUUAGCUGGUGACUUCUGGACUGA